Molecule: ribosomal RNA, 562 nt
Filed under: Gymnachirus nudus (naked sole)
Lineage: Eukaryota; Metazoa; Chordata; Actinopteri; Pleuronectiformes; Achiridae
Description: partial large subunit ribosomal RNA
Rfam family: Bacterial large subunit ribosomal RNA
Source: RNAcentral
GUCCCGCCUGCCCACUGAUAUUAAUUCAACGGCCGCGGUAUUUUGACCGUGCUAAGGUAGCGUAAUCACUUGUCUUUUAAAUGAAGACCCGUAUGAAAGGCAUAACGAGGGCUUAACUGUCUCCUCUUUCCAGUCAAUGAAACUGAUCUCCCCGUGCAGACGCGGGGAUAACACCAUAAGACGAGAAGACCCUAUGGAGCUUCAGACACAAGGUAGACUAUUUCAAACACCCCUCAACAAGAAUUGAAUCUAAUAGAAACCUACCCCUGUCUUAGGUUGGGGCGACCCUGGGGAAACACAAAACCCCCAUGUGGAUAGGGAGAACAUACUUACAUCCCCCUAAAAACCCGAGAUACAACUCUAAUUAACAGAAUCUCUGACCAAAAUUGAUCCGGACAAACCCGAUUAACGGAACAAGUUACCCUAGGGAUAACAGCGCUAUCCCCUUUUAAAGUCCAUAUAGACAAGGGGGUUUACGACCUCGAUGUUGGAUCAGGACAUCCUAAUGGUGCAGCCGCUAUUAAGGGUUCGUUUGUUCAACGAUUAAAGUCCUACGUGAUCU